RNAcentral lists this long non-coding RNA (273 nucleotides) under Setaria italica (foxtail millet). RNAcentral describes it as "long non-coding RNA (SITA_LNC001987)". The record is from RNAcentral. Lineage: Eukaryota; Viridiplantae; Streptophyta; Magnoliopsida; Poales; Poaceae.
UACUUUAUUUUUCUCUCUUCUGUACCUAAAACUGAUCAGUUUUAGGUCACCAGUUUUACAUAUAUUGUUGGAGAUGCUCUAAGGAAUCAACAAGGUGAACUUUUUUUUUUGAAAAGGGAACAAGGUGAACUUUGAUGCGUUCCCAAAUAAACACACAUGUACCAAAUCUGCACCGUAAAUGCGAGUUCGACGAAAACAAUGAUUCCCCUUUUUUUUUUCUGUGUUUCCCUCUCGACACCAAUGGCGUGUACAAUCGACAAGUUUUGGUAUGAC